CGCAUGUUUAUUUAAUAUAAUGGUUGUAUUAUUAAUAUUCAUGCAUUAAAAUUAAAAAAAAAAAAAUAUGUAUAUAUUUAUAUCCAUUUCCUUUAAAUUAAAGAGGCAAAAAUAUUAUAAAAGUUAGUGGUGGCAAAUAAUUACAAGAAUUGGCGGGGCAAAUCAAAGAAAAAAUCUAUAAUUAAAAAAGAAAAACAGUCGCAGUUAUUUAACCAAUUUAGUACAACAAAACUGAAGAGGGACAGUCACAGGAAGAAAUAGAAGACAUUAAUUAAGGAGCAAAAGAUUCUUUGAUUCGUUUACAUUAUUGGUCAUAUUGCCACUUAAAAUGUUAAAGAGUUCUGAUCUUUGCAAAAUUUGUCCAGAUGUUGUGGCAUGUUGUGGUGGCGCUGAUGAUGAUGUCGAUGUAGUUUGAUGUGACAUUGU
Molecule: long non-coding RNA, 426 nt
Organism: Lucilia cuprina (Australian sheep blowfly)
Lineage: Eukaryota; Metazoa; Arthropoda; Insecta; Diptera; Calliphoridae
Exons: 3
Source: RefSeq, a predicted model, not a curated record